Molecule: long non-coding RNA, 993 nt
Filed under: Lathyrus oleraceus (garden pea)
Lineage: Eukaryota; Viridiplantae; Streptophyta; Magnoliopsida; Fabales; Fabaceae
Description: Pisum sativum (pea) long non-coding RNA (PSAT_LNC034304)
Source: RNAcentral
UUUGUUUCAUUACAUUGAGCAAUAGACAAGUUACGGGUUGUUUACUUCACAUGUCAUCUUCCAACAACAUCCCCCAUCAUACAUUCACUACAUGAGAACUAAAACAAAAAAUAUAAUUGAAAAAAAAGGUUUUUUUAAAUUACAAUCCAUAUACGUGAAACACAUGAACUACAAGAUACAUUACAUACAUUACAACUUUUCCUCCCCACGAUCUUCCUACAUCCAUACAUCAUAAGCAUCUACAUACAUACAUCAUGCUCCAUCAAAGUCACGAAUCCUUCACUGCCCAACUAACCUCAUUGCAAUUCCCCCAAAAAAUUACCUCCAAUUCACCUCAUGAGUAUCACCACUCACCCUCAAAUUUACCUAUAUAAGCUAACACCAUUUUCACUGCAUAACACAUCUUGAUACAAUAAAACUCACUAUGAAAACUCUGUUACAUCCACACUUUCAAACAUGCAAAAAUUCCCUACAAACUCUUGCGAAGUUCUCAACAACCACCAUAGAGAUAAAGGAGGAAGAAAGAUUCAAAAGAAAGAGAAGAAACAUGGGAAAUGGAAUAAGAAUAAGGAAGAGAGUAGUUGAGCUUACCUGAGGUGAUUCUUGGCCUCGUCGGUUGGCUCGCAGGAAGCCUGAUAAACGAAGAUUCCAACGAGGUAUUUGUUUCCAUCAUUUACUUCACUUAUUACAUGUCUUUUUAUGUGUUCUUUCACAUUUAUUGUUCCUUCUCCUUUUGAUUUAUGUAAAACUGUUGUAAUCGAAUCAAAUUAUAGAAAAGGGGGCUAGGGUUUUCAAUUAGGGCUAAGGGCGAUUUGCAUUUUAUAUUUUGAAUCUGUUUAAUUGAAUGAUUCAUGAUCAACGUGAAAAUGGAGGGGGAUUCAUGUUGGUGAAUUUUGAUUUGAGAGAUUUAUGCAAAAUUCUGGAAAAAACAAAGACGGUGUUCUUCAUUUUUCAAAGUUUUUGAUCUGAAUUUUUUUUAAGAGUUUGGUUUAG